UUAAAUUGAAGAGUUUGAUCCUGGCUCAGGACGAACGCUGGCGGCGUGCUUAACACAUGCAAGUCGAACGGGAGAGGAUGAGGAAAUGCUUCGGCAUGGAGACAUCUGAUCUAGUGGCGGACGGGUGAGUAACGCGUGAGCAACCUGUCCUGCACAGGGGGAUAACACUGAGAAAUCAGUGCUAAUACCGCAUGAGACCACAGUAUCACAUGGUACAGGGGUCAAAGGAGAAAUCCGGUGCAGGGUGGGCUCGCGUCCCAUUAGCUAGUUGGUAGGGUAAAGGCCUACCAAGGCGACGAUGGGUAGCCGGACUGAGAGGUUGGCCGGCCACACUGGGACUGAGACACGGCCCAGACUCCUACGGGAGGCAGCAGUGGGGAAUAUUGGGCAAUGGGCGAAAGCCUGACCCAGCAACGCCGCGUGAAGGAAGAAGGUCUUUGGAUUGUAAACUUUUGUCCUAUGGGAAGAAGGAAGUGACGGUACCAUGGGAGGAAGCCCCGGCUAACUACGUGCCAGCAGCCGCGGUAAUACGUAGGGGGCGAGCGUUGUCCGGAAUUACUGGGCGUAAAGGGCGCGCAGGCGGCCGAUCAAGUUAGAUGUGAAAUACCCGGGCUUAACCUGGGAACUGCAUUUAAAACUGGUUGGCUAGGAGUGCAGGAGAGGGAAGCGGAAUUCCUAGUGUAGCGGUGAAAUGCGUAGAUAUUAGGAGGAACACCAGUGGCGAAGGCGGCUUUCUGGACUGUAACUGACGCUGAGGCGCGAAAGCGUGGGGAGCGAACAGGAUUAGAUACCCUGGUAGUCCACGCUGUAAACGAUGAAUACUAGGUGUAGGGGGUAUCGACCCCCCCUGUGCCGGAGCAAACGCAAUAAGUAUUCCGCCUGGGGAGUACGGCCGCAAGGUUGAAACUCAAAGGAAUUGACGGGGGCCCGCACAAGCAGCGGAGCAUGUGGUUUAAUUCGAAGCAACGCGAAGAACCUUACCAGGUCUUGACAUCCCUCGAAGUGCAUAGAGAUAUGUACGUCCUUCGGGACGAGGAGACAGGUGGUGCAUGGUUGUCGUCAGCUCGUGUCGUGAGAUGUUGGGUUAAGUCCCGCAACGAGCGCAACCCCUACAGUUAGUUACCAGCGGGUAAAGCCGGGGACUCUAACAGGACUGCCGUGGAUAACACGGAGGAAGGUGGGGACGACGUCAAAUCAUCAUGCUCCUUAUGACCUGGGCUACACACGUGCUACAAUGGCCGGUACAAAGAGAAGCGAGACCGUAAGGUGGAGCGGAUCUCAAAAAACCGGUCCCAGUUCGGAUUGUGGGCUGCAACCCGCCCACAUGAAGUUGGAGUUGCUAGUAAUCGCGAAUCAGCAUGUCGCGGUGAAUGCGUUCCCGGGCCUUGUACACACCGCCCGUCACACCAUGGGAGUUGGGAGCGCCCGAAGUCGUUGAGGUAACCCGCAAGGGAGCCAGGCGCCGAAGGUGAGACCGAUAACUGGGGUGAAGUCGUAACAAGGUAGCCGUAUCGGAAGGUGCGGCUGGAUCACCUCCUUUCUAGGGA
This 1547-nucleotide ribosomal RNA is filed under the name Luoshenia tenuis. RNAcentral describes it as "bacterial SSU rRNA". It matches the Rfam family "Bacterial small subunit ribosomal RNA". Lineage: Bacteria; Bacillati; Bacillota; Clostridia; Christensenellales; Christensenellaceae. The record is from RNAcentral.